CGAACGCGUGCAGUAAUGCACGAGUGGCGCACGGGUGAGUAACUCCUUUUAAGCUGCCUUUUGGUUCGGAACAACCCCGGGAAACCGCUUCUAAUACCGGAUGGUUCCUACGGGAUAAAGAUUUAUCGCCAAAAGAGGAGUCCGCGUCCGAUUAGCUAGUUGGUGAGGUAAAGGCUCACCAAGGCGACGAUCGGUAGCUGGUCUGAGAGGACGAUCAGCCACACUGGGACUGAGACACGGCCCAGACUCCUACGGGAGGCAGCAGUGGGGAAUAUUGGACAAUGGGGGCAACCCUGAUCCAGCCAUGCCGCGUGAGUGAUGAAGGCCUUCGGGUUGUAAAGCUCUUUUGGCGGGGACGAUGAUGACGGUACCCGCAGAAUAAGCCCCGGCUAACUUCGUGCCAGCAGCCGCGGUAAGACGAAGGGGGCAAGCGUUGUUCGGAAUUACUGGGCGUAAAGCGAGUGUAGGCGGCGAGCCAAGUCGGGUGUGAAAGCCUCGAGCUCAACUCGAGAAAUGCAUUCGGUACUGGCCUGCUAGAGGACCGGAGAGGAUAGUGGAAUUCCCAGUGUAGUGGUGAAAUACGUAGAGAUUGGGAAGAACACCAGUGGCGAAGGCGGCUAUCUGGACGGUUACUGACGCUAAGACUCGAAAGCGUGGGGAGCAUACAGGAUUAGAUACCCUGGUAGUCCACGCCGUAAACGAUGGGUGCUAGACGUUGGCGGGCUUGCUCGUCAGUGUCGCAGCUAACGCGUUAAGCACCCCGCCUGGGGAGUACGGCCGCAAGGUUGAAACUUCAAAG
This 799-nucleotide ribosomal RNA is filed under the name uncultured bacterium. RNAcentral's name for it is "bacterial SSU rRNA". It matches the Rfam family "Bacterial small subunit ribosomal RNA", at positions 63 to 907 of the family's 1533-position model. The record is from RNAcentral.